AUUGAACGCUGGCGGCAGGCCUAACACAUGCAAGUCGAGCGGAUGAAGGGAGCUUGCUCCUGGAUUCAGCGGCGGACGGGUGAGUAAUGCCUAGGAAUCUGCCUUGUUGUGGGGGAUAACGUCCGGAAACUGGCGCUAAUACCGCAUACGUCCUGAGGGAGAAAGUGGGGGAUCUUAGGACCUCACGCUAUCAGAUGAGCCUAGGACGGAUUAGCUAGUUGGUGGGGUAAAGGCCUACCAAGGCGACGAUCCGUAACUGGUCUGAGAGGAUGAUCAGUCACACUGGAACUGAGACACGGUCCAGACUCCUACGGGAGGCAGCAGUGGGGAAUAUUGGACAAUGGGCGAAAGCCUGAUCCAGCCAUGCCGCGUGUGUGAAGAAGGUCUUCGGAUUGUAAAGCACUUUAAGUUGGGAGGAAGGGCAGUAAGUUAAUACCUUGCUGUUUUGACGUUACCAAAAGAAUAAGCACCGGCUAACUUCGUG
This 484-nucleotide ribosomal RNA is filed under the name uncultured bacterium. RNAcentral describes it as "partial 16S ribosomal RNA". It matches the Rfam family "Bacterial small subunit ribosomal RNA", at positions 30 to 507 of the family's 1533-position model. The record is from RNAcentral.